AGAGUUUGAUCCUGGCUCAGGACGAACGCUGGCGGCACGCUUAACACAUGCAAGUCGAACGAGAGAAGAGGAGCUUGCUUUUCUGAUCUAGUGGCGGACGGGUGAGUAACACGUGAGCAAUCUGCCUUUUCAGAGGGGGAUACCGAUUGGAAACGAUCGUUAAUACCGCAUAACAUAAUUGAACCGCAUGAUUUGAUUAUCAAAGAUUUAUCGCUGAAAGAUGAGCUCGCGUCUGAUUAGCUAGUUGGUAAGGUAACGGCUUACCAAGGCGACGAUCAGUAGCCGGACUGAGAGGUUGAUCGGCCACAUUGGGACUGAGACACGGCCCAGACUCCUACGGGAGGCAGCAGUGGGGAAUAUUGCACAAUGGAGGAAACUCUGAUGCAGCGAUGCCGCGUGAGGGAAGAAGGUUUUAGGAUUGUAAACCUCUGUCUUCAGGGACGAAAAAAGACGGUACCUGAGGAGGAAGCUCCGGCUAACUACGUGCCAGCAGCCGCGGUAAUACGUAGGGAGCGAGCGUUGUCCGGAAUUACUGGGUGUAAAGGGAGCGUAGGCGGGAUCGCAAGUCAGAUGUGAAAACUAUGGGCUUAACCCAUAAACUGCAUUUGAAACUGUGGUUCUUGAGUGAAGUAGAGGUAAGCGGAAUUCCUAGUGUAGCGGUGAAAUGCGUAGAUAUUAGGAGGAACAUCAGUGGCGAAGGCGGCUUACUGGGCUUUAACCGACGCUGAGGCUCGAAAGCGUGGGGAGCAAACAGGAUUAGAUACCCUGGUAGUCCACGCCGUAAACGAUGAUUACUAGGUGUGGGGGGACUGACCCCUUCCGUGCCGCAGCAAACGCAAUAAGUAAUCCACCUGGGGAGUACGACCGCAAGGUUGAAACUCAAAGGAAUUGACGGGGGCCCGCACAAGCAGUGGAGUAUGUGGAUUAAUUCGAAGCAACGCGAAGAACCUUACCAGGUCUUGACAUCGUAUGCAUAGCUCAGAGAUGAGUGAAAUCUCUUCGGAGACAUAUAGACAGGUGGUGCAUGGUUGUCGUCAGCUCGUGUCGUGAGAUGUUGGGUUAAGUCCCGCAACGAGCGCAACCCUUACUGUUAGUUGCUACGCAAGAGCACUCUAGCAGGACUGCCGUUGACAAAACGGAGGAAGGUGGGGAUGACGUCAAAUCAUCAUGCCCCUUAUGACCUGGGCCUCACACGUACUACAAUGGCUGUCAACAGAGGGAAGCAAAGCCGCGAGGUGGAGCGAACCCCUAAAAGCAGUCUUAGUUCGGAUUGUAGGCUGCAACCCGCCUACAUGAAGUCGGAAUUGCUAGUAAUCGCAGAUCAGCAUGCUGCGGUGAAUACGUUCCCGGGCCUUGUACACACCGCCCGUCACGCCAUGGGAGUCGGUAACACCCGAAGCCUGUAGUCUAACCGCAAGGAGGACGCAGUCGAAGGUGGGAUUGAUGACUGGGGUGAAGUCGGAACAAGGUA
RNAcentral lists this ribosomal RNA (1471 nucleotides) under metagenome. Its description in RNAcentral is "bacterial SSU rRNA". It matches the Rfam family "Bacterial small subunit ribosomal RNA". The record is from RNAcentral.